Molecule: ribosomal RNA, 341 nt
Filed under: uncultured Latescibacterota bacterium
Lineage: Bacteria; Pseudomonadati; Candidatus Latescibacterota
Description: bacterial SSU rRNA
Rfam family: Bacterial small subunit ribosomal RNA
Source: RNAcentral
AACGAACGCUGGCGGCGUGGAUUAGGCAUGCAAGUCGAACGCGAAAGGUUCCUUCGGGGACCGAGUAGAGUGGCAAACGGGUGAGUAACGCGUGGGAAACUUUCCCUUCAGGUGGGGAUAACACUUCUAACGAGGUGCUAAUACCGAAUUCGAUCCUUCUGAUGCAUGUCAGAAGGAUGAAAGGCGGCCUCUGCUUGCAAGCUGUCGCUGAAGGAUGGUCCCGCGUCCUAUUAGCUAGUUGGUGAGGUAACGGCCCACCAAGGCGAUGAUAGGUAGCCGAUCUUAGCGGAUGACCGGCCACACUGGGAUUGAGAUACGGCCCAGACUCCUACGGGAGGCUG